RNAcentral lists this ribosomal RNA (590 nucleotides) under Litoditis marina. RNAcentral describes it as "partial 28S ribosomal RNA". It matches the Rfam family "Eukaryotic large subunit ribosomal RNA", at positions 367 to 945 of the family's 3401-position model. The record is from RNAcentral. Lineage: Eukaryota; Metazoa; Nematoda; Chromadorea; Rhabditida; Rhabditidae.
CAAAGAACUUUGAAGAGAGAGUUCAAGAGAACGUGAAAUCGCUGGAGUGGAACCGGAGAGAGUUGACGUAACCUUGUGGCUAAGUUUUUUGAGGUCGGUUAACUCCGAUUUCGAGGAAUGGACGCUGCUUAUGGUUGCGCUGGUGGCGUUGAUUGUGCUAGCUGACCCGUAUAUUGUUGCCCACUUCGGUGGUGUCUUAUGUGCGGUUAGGCUGGUCACGGUUAACGUUUAGCUCUGCUUGCAGAGUACCAGUGUGAAAGUCGACCACCUUUCCGACCCGUCUUGAAACACGGACCGAGGAGUGUAACUUGUGCGCGAGUCAAAGGGUGGUAAACCCCACGGCGUAAUGAAAGUAAAGACCGGUUAACCGGUUGACAUAGGAUCCGUUCUUUGAGCGGCGCACUAUGGCCCUGUCUUGUCUGCUUGCAGAUGGGCAGAGGAAGAGCGUACAGGUUGCGACCCGAAAGAUGGUGAACUAUGCCUGAGCAGGACGAAGCCAGAGGAAACUCUGGUGGAAGUCCGUAUCGGUUCUGACGUGCAAAUCGAUCGAUAGACUUGGGUAUAGGGGCGAAAGAGUAAUCGAACCAUCU